AGUGAACGCUGGCGGUAGGCCUAACACAUGCCAGUCGAACGGCAGCACAGUAAGAGCUUGCUCUUACGGGUGGCGAGUGGCGGACGGGUGAGGAAUACAUCGGAAUCUACUUUUUCGUGGGGGAUAACGUAGGGAAACUUACGCUAAUACCGCAUACGACCUACGGGUGAAAGCAGGGGAUCUUCGGACCUUGCGCGAUUGAAUGAGCCGAUGUCGGAUUAGCUAGUUGGCGGGGUAAAGGCCCACCAAGGCGACGAUCCGUAGCUGGUCUGAGAGGAUGGUCAGCCACACUGGAACGGAGGCACGGUCCAGACUCCUACGGGAGGCAGCAGUGGGGAAUAUUGGACAAUGGGCGGAAGCCUGAUCCAGCCAUACCGCGUGGGUGAAGAAGGCCUUCGGGUUGUAAAGCCCUUUUGUUGGGAAAGAAAAGCAGCAGGUUAAUACCCCGCUGUUCUGACGGUACCCAAAGAAUAAGCACCGGCUAACUUCGUG
Molecule: ribosomal RNA, 492 nt
Filed under: uncultured bacterium
Lineage: Bacteria
Description: partial 16S ribosomal RNA
Rfam family: Bacterial small subunit ribosomal RNA
Source: RNAcentral